UCCCUGGAGGACUAGUGGUUAUUCCUCGGCGUUCUCACUGCCGCAGCCCGGGUUCGAUUCCCGGCCAGGGAA
RNAcentral lists this transfer RNA (72 nucleotides) under Pangasianodon gigas (Mekong giant catfish). RNAcentral's name for it is "tRNA-Glu". It matches the Rfam family "tRNA". From Rfam's summary of the family: Transfer RNA (tRNA) molecules are approximately 80 nucleotides in length. The record is from RNAcentral. Lineage: Eukaryota; Metazoa; Chordata; Actinopteri; Siluriformes; Pangasiidae.